GAUCAUUCAGAAGGUUUGCUUUCUGGGUUACAUGCGGAGAACGUAGUUUCUCAACGAUCGCCCAGGGAAAAGUCCCCGGACCCGAGGCAGAAAGUGCCCUGGCGUGAGGCCAGAAACGGCUCGUGUCUCCCCGCUACAGCAAAGACGCUCAUCUGGAGCAGAGCUCGGGGAUUAAUCACUUGUCGUCUUUGUCAGGAACAAGAGAAAUGCAGGCAUGCGCAGUGUAACAGAACGGGGCUCACUCUCUGAAUGCU
Oryzias melastigma (Indian medaka) is the source of this 254-nucleotide ribozyme. It matches the Rfam family "RNase MRP". Rfam says of the family: RNase MRP is an enzymatically active ribonucleoprotein with two distinct roles in eukaryotes. In mitochondria it plays a direct role in the initiation of mitochondrial DNA replication. NCBI's taxonomy places the organism in Eukaryota, Metazoa, Chordata, Actinopteri, Beloniformes, Adrianichthyidae. The record is from Ensembl.